The sequence is a ribosomal RNA, 867 nucleotides long. The stretch from base 331 to 484 matches the Rfam family "5.8S ribosomal RNA".
GUUAUAGAAGGGCACUACCCUCUCCGUAGGUGACAUGCGGAAGGAUCAUUAUUGAAACUUCUUUGAAAAUAGUACUGCUUCCGGUAGGGUGACUGCGGAAGGAUCAUUAUUGAAACUUCUUUGGAAAUAGUACUGUUGCUGGCCUUGUAAUGAGGUAUGUGCACGUCUAUUACCAAUUUAUUCAUCCACCUGUGCACUUUUUGUAGGAGUUCUUCGAAGUUAUUUUGUACUUGUGCAAUUUGGCUUUGAAAGGCUUCUAUGUCUUAUAAACCCAUUAGUAUGUCUCUGAAUGUUUUUUAUUGGGACUUAAUUGGCCCUUUAAACUUGUACAACUUUUAGCAACGGAUCUCUUGGCUCUCCCAUCGAUGAAGAACGCAGCGAAAUGCGAUAAGUAAUGUGAAUUGCAGAAUUCAGUGAAUCAUCGAAUCUUUGAACGCACCUUGCGCCCUCUGGUAUUCCGGAGGGCAUGCCUGUUUGAGUGUCAUUAAAUUCUCAACUUCAAUAGCUUUUACUAGCUUAUUGAUGCUUGGAUGUGGGAGCUUGCUGGCGUCUUAGAUGUUCAGCUCUCCUUAAAGUUAUUAGUGGAAACCUCUUUGUUGGUUUAUUCCUUAGUGUGAUAAUUAUCUACGCUAUGAAUAAUCUAAUGUUCCAUUGAGACUUGAGAUUUCUCAGUAGAAAUACUGGUCUGGGUACUGCAAUUAAAUUUGCUGUAUCUGUAAUCUCUCAGUAGCAAUACUGGUUUGGGCAUUGCAAUUAAAUUUGCUUUACCUGUAGUCUCAGAGGAAAAGAAAAGUUCUGCUUUCUAACCGUCUAUUAUAUAGACAAUUUAUUGACUAUUGACCUCAAAUCAGGUAGACAGCCAGUUCC